This 250-nucleotide ribosomal RNA is filed under the name uncultured prokaryote. RNAcentral's name for it is "partial 16S rRNA". It matches the Rfam family "Bacterial small subunit ribosomal RNA", at positions 525 to 775 of the family's 1533-position model. The record is from RNAcentral.
ACGUAGGGGACGAGCGUUGUCCGGAAUUACUGGGCGUAAAGGGCGCGCAGGCUGUAGAUCAAGUCAGCUGUGAAAUGUCUGGGCUUAACCCGGGCAUGCGGUUGAAACUGAUGUACUGGAGUGCUGUAGAGGCAAGUGGAAUUCCCAGUGUAGCGGUGAAAUGCGUAGAUAUUGGGAAGAACACCGGUGGCGAAGGCGACUUGCUGGGCAGCAACUGACGCUGAGGCGCGAAAGCCAGGGGAGCAAACGG